Long non-coding RNA from Perognathus longimembris pacificus (Pacific pocket mouse), 721 nucleotides. RefSeq lists it as uncharacterized. The transcript has 2 exons. The record is from RefSeq and is a predicted model, not a curated record. Lineage: Eukaryota; Metazoa; Chordata; Mammalia; Rodentia; Heteromyidae.
UGUAGCUGUGGCUCAAGUGGUAGAGUGCUAGCCUCAAGCAAAGGAGAGCGGUGACAGCACCUCAGAUGUGAGUUCAAUCCCUAGGACCAACACAAAAAAAAAAACAAAAAUUUUUUCAGCUAUGAGCUUAUCUGAGAAAGUCUUUCAUGCAUGGUAGUAAUAUGCUAGUUAAAUUUUACUCCAUCUAAUCUUAAUCAGUGAUAGAAAUUGAAUUUACAUAGAUUUGCAUAAAUAAUUCAGCUAUCUGUUCUGCUCUAAUAUAUUUAAAGUGAAUAAAAUAAUUUGGGCAGAAUAAAAAUGAUGAGGCUACUUUACAGUUGUCAUUUCCUGAUUUCCCUCAUUUUCCUUUCUUGUCCAAAGCGAAAGAAGAAACAAAGGGAGAGCACACAUCUGAGGAUAUCUACAUUCAAGCCCUGAACCAUUCCACCAUCACUACCAGUUAAUUCAGCAUUCUCAACAGGGGGCAACUCUGCCUGCCAGGAAAAGAGAGCAUAUUGGUAUCUAGUGGGUACCAAACAAUGCUUCUUAAUAAUAUGAUCUAACAAUGAAACAGAAGAGAAAAAACUCAUAAAAAUUAAGCAGACGCUGGACAUGGUGUAUUCCUAUAGCUUCAGCAGUCAGGAUACUAAGGAAGGAGGAUUGUGAGAUCGAGACCAGCAUGGCUACAUAAUGAGACCCUGUGUCAAGGGGGGCAGGGGGGAGGCAUAAAAAUAAAUUUAAA